UCCAAUUGAUUAUUUUCCCCCUGUAUAUACUUAUAAUGCUUUACCUAAAUGUUUCCCCACACAAAGAGGAUCUGAUUUUAUUUCUGACUUCCAACUUUCUAAUUUUUCUGUCCUGAAGGCUUUACUGCGGGUUACAAUCAUGUGAUGCUACUGACUGCAUGUCCAACAAACCCUUAACUGAAGAGAGACUGAAGAAUAUAGACACAGUAUUUUCCCCAGGGUGUCUGAAUUGACCUGGCCAAAUAUCUUUGAAAGUGAUACAGCAAUAUGCAGAAAUCUGAAUAUAUAACUGCCAGUAACAUUUCUCUGGGCAUUGCCAAGAAAGAAGACUUUAAAUGGAAAGAAAUUGUUCUGUAAGAUGUCAGAGACAGCUGUGUCACUGAAAGAAAGUACAUCUAAUAUGGUCCCAUCAUCACUGAUAAGUAAUAAGCAAAGUCUUAAGAAGUCUUGCUUCUCAUUAGAUGACUUCAGUCUUAAUGAAUGGAUGACAUCUGGUAGCUGCCAUGCCUAGGAUCUCAGUCAACAGAGCAUGCACUAAGGACUCCUCUAUAAGGCAUAUAUUUGUCUGUGUGCUCGGGCUCAAGUAGAGUGUCACAAAUCCUAAUCAUUGAAACCAUUGAAAAAGCUGAAGAAGCUGAACUUGCACCCAAAUAAUUGCUCUUGUCCAUAGUAAGCUGCAGAAUAGGUAUGUGUCCAUGCACCUCAAAGAGCUCUUUUAAAUUCUGAGAUUCAGGUACAGGCUAGAUGGAUAUAAAUCAAAAUGCAGGCAAUACAGAGACCUAUUCCAUUCAAAAGCUUACCUACAUUAAGAUUGUGCUUUUCUGUUUUAAUGUUUCUUGGGUUUGGGUAGCUUUUAUGGACUCCUGUGGUUUAGUGCUGGUAAGUCAAACGUGACUGUGAUGCAUAUCUAAACUUCUGGAUUCUCAUUCAUACUGAAACUCUAGAUGUCUUGUGGUUUUUGUGACACAGCAGAAUGAUGCAAAACACUUAAUUGCAUCUCACCUGUGAUUACUUAUCUGGAUUUGAACAACCCAUUUCAGAAAGAAUGGUGCUUUUUUUUUGACUCAUUGACUCUGGUCUGGUAAUUUCAGUAGUUUUAUAACUGUGCACUCUCUGGACUCAACCAUAGAAUUAAGAUUUCAAGUUUCCUUAGGAGUAAAUGAUUGCAAGAGACAAUUCCUCUUCUAAGCAACAAUUAGAGCAUUAGCUGAACAAAGAGCUUCAUCUGGCAAUUAGUAUUCCUGUGGUGAGCAGGGAGAGAAUUAGUCAGAGAUACAAGAGGCUCAGACUGCCAGAGCUGAAGCAAAAGGCUUGGUGUGCAAGCUUUCUGAUGCUCCAGUGCCUUUUCUCCUCCCAGUUUGAGAAUCUCUUGCAUUUUUUUUUCACAAAAGGUUAAUACUCUUGUGUCGAAAGAAUACAUUAUGGCUCAAACGUUCAUCUAUGCUUCAAAAGAUAGGCAACAGCUACUGGAAACAGCAGGGCUCUCUGCUGUGUUUUUAGUCCUGAGGCUGAUCAAUAAACUCUAGUGACACAAGGGAGGAAGGGGUAACACACUCACACGCUGCUCAGCCCCAGGAAUGCAGAAAGCAUGAAUAGAAAGCUAAAUGUUUCUUUAAGAAAUGAGACCCAAGCACAGAUGGCACUCUGUAUUCAUGGAAGGCUCCCACAUGGUGCAAAGAAUUAGAGCCUGCAGGGCCUCAUAAAAAUAGUGGAAUCACCUAUACGCAAAAUCUUCAGCCUGACUCGCUCUCAGCUACAUCGCUGUAAGAUAGUAGGAGUAAAGGUAUUAAAGUCAUUGGAUUAAUGCAGUGUAACGCCGUCCUUAGAGCUGAACUUCACACGCACUGUGUGAAGUCCUUAUCCAAAGGGCUUGUAGUGACUGCGUCAUGAAUAAACCAGGCAAGAAACCUAAAACUCCAUCUUUAACCAGAAUGAAACAGAUCAUGGAUAGUAUUUGGGGCCAAUACUCCUGUUGAGGUGGAAACAACCCAGAAAUCCAGCUUAAUGGAGCAUCUGGGGAUUUCACAGGGAUGGAAGUUAGGUCUUGUAUUAACCAUUUCUAAAGCACCAUUUUUAUAGCUCUUUAGCUCAGAAGCAGUGUGAAGUCAGGAGAAAGAAAAUAAGCCUGGUCUGUCUGUCUAGUAAUCAUCAGAUGCCUAAAGCGCCCUUAAAAGAGAAAUAAAAUAAUUUCAUGCUCAGCCUUCUAAGUUGCAAGUCAGAAGAAUUUCCAGAUAUUCCAGAAUUUCAGAUGUCCUGAAACAGAUUAAAACAUUGCUGCUGAAGAAAAUUGGCUAAUUCCAGGAAUCUACACCUUAAAUGGAAACAAGCAGAAUUUAUCUGCUGGACAUUUGUAGUGGAUAUAAAUAAUGCACGCCACUUAAAGACAAAUAUUUAUAUUAGUUUCAGCAAUUAAAUCUUUCCACAGUUUCUAUAUCAGUAAGUUCACUUGCGCUACUUAGAUCAGUGCUAAAACAGUUGCAAGAAAAUAAAAUGAUCUCUUAAUUUUGAUUCAAUACAAAGGCUUGCAGUUUAGUUGUCUUUGAUGUCCUCUAGUAGAUCACACAGCAAAUAACAUAGUUUCUUCAGAAUUUAGCUGCUGUGGGUGUGUUAAUUCUGAAUUCUCCCUAGUAAUGGGAAAAAAAAAGUUGUGUCAGUAUCAUGUUUGCUGAUUGCUUUAAAAUGAACUUGUAUUUGAAUUUCUGAUCCUGCAGAACUUCUAUUAAAAGGAAAGAAUGUUAAACUUAAAGCAAUCUGGGGAGACAAAACCUUUUCAUGUAACUGCUGCGCACCUGGAUCUGAGAAACUGCACUGGUGGCAGCGGAGUGGUGAGAAGAGAGAUGUGACUGUCUCUAGCCCACACAGGCCCUAGGGGCUGUAAAUGUUCCUGCCUGAGGAACCUUCUUUUUCCGAGUUUUCGCUAAGGAAAAGGCACAUGGAAGGAAACUAUUCACCCCACAUCCUUCAUGUCUUCCCAGUCUCAGUCUUCUUAACCAUGAGUGAAUUUUUGUGCUGUGGUUUUCUGCUAAAGGAAGCCCUCCACUCUGGAAUGCCCCUUGAGCUGUGGUCCAUCAGGCUGUAAGGGAGGGCUUUCGGGUCCAAGUCAUGACUUGGUGUAAAUCUACCAAGGCUGGACCUUGAAUUCCUGGUAGGAAGUGUUGCUAGUGAGGUACUAGCUGUGAGAAACACUUGGUUUUGAAACAGAACUGACUUUGGAGGGAAAGAAACAUAAUCAGAUGAGAGCCAGAACCCACCAUAAGUCUUGUCGGUAUGUUUUGAAUGUCUGGAGUUAAGAUAGAGACUGAGGAGGAAGAGAGGACUGUUACGAGAAUAGCAAUGGGAUUGUUGUGUUUUAUGAAUAACAGUGUGUGUUUUAACUACCAUGUCAAAUGGAGGCAGUGUUAUCUCUGUACAGCUCCAGAGCAUCCUCUCUGCAAGCUUUCUUUCUGCCUGUCCAUGUAUCAGCCCUUAGAAAACUGCCCUCCCAGACCAAGGAGAUCCCUCAUAGCCUAGCAGAGCAGCCUGCAGAGUCCCUCUGUGCCAUAUUAGUGGCAUCUGUUGCUGCUAGGAAGGACACUUAAGUAUAGUACAUUACAUACCAGACAGAUUUUUAACAGGUGCCACAGUUUCCUAGGUGGAUGCUAGGUUGUUCACUUGCUGGAAACACAUCCAAGAGCAACUUAAAGUGUAAGAGGUCAGGCUGGUCUCAGGCAUAUAGCCUAAAUACCUGGUCUAAGAUACUUGAGUGAGGGUAGAUUAAGCAUUGCUGAAUUUGGAGAUCAUAGAAACGAUGAUCUUACAAAUACACAUGCUUAUUACGCAUUAUAGAACCAGCACAUAAACUAAGUUGGAGUAAUUAAAUAAGAGAAAGGCAAAGGGGUGAAAGAAAACACCAUCUGCUAACUCUCGAUCAGUCACUUAUAAGCAAACCAGAAUAUAAUGAAGGCCAUUGCAUUCUGAUCAUGAACAGAUCCUUCUGCUUGGCUUAUGUUAUUUUUCCUCAAAAAUAGUGCAUAUGUUUUGUAACAGUUUGGUAAACACAUGAAAAAGAGAGGGAAAAGAAAGCUAAAAAUCUCUGCUGAACUGUAUGAAAUGCAGCAAUUUGGAUGCUUUGUACUUUUCUAGUAUUUAUUUAUUUACAGGCGCUCUCAAUAACAUUUACACUAUCAGUAAUUUGAUUUGCUAAGAGCUUGAUUAUGCAGCCAGCAGUUUCACAUUGUCAUCAUUGUAUUUGACAAAGUGAAUCCAGAUCAACACUAAUUCAUCACCUUACAUUCUCAGUUAUUUAUAGCCAUUAACUGAUACACUUAUUCUAUUAGCCGACUGCUAAAUGUAGGAUAUUUGUGGAAUCCUCUCUAGGGUCGAAAUAGUAAUUAUUUUUAAGUCUGUGCAUUUUCUAAAAUGAAUGAUGACGUUCUAGGCUAUUAAUAGAGAAAAGAGACAUAAAAUGGCAUACCCACCUGUUGUGCCAACUACCAGCAGCCAAUAAUGUAUGUUAACACAAGGCAAAUAUUCUUUAAUUCAUACUUACAAAAUGAAAUAAAUCAAUUAAUACUUUGAUUAGAUGCAAAUAAUCCAAUUAUUGCAAAAAGUAAAAUUCAUUGCAGCAUUGUCACAGCACUCAAAUUCUAGUCAUGAAGCACUUAAGCAAAUGAAUAAUUUUAUAUGGGAAGGAACAUGCCCCAGUACAUAGGACAAUGUAUGUAAGACAGUCUUGCACUUAAGUCUUCUUUCGGAAGAGAUUAUAUUGAGACAUGCAAUUACUGAUACAGUCUUUUAAGGACACUUUCAACCGCAUCUAUGGUAAGGAUUGAGUCCUAGUGAUGUUAGUUCAGCUUAAUUAUGAAAUCAAGGAAAAAUUUUGGGAAUCUCUGCAGAGGUUGUGAGGCUCGUUACUUUUAAUAGUAUUUAAAAUUCAGUGUCCCCAAAGAUUUCAUUUGAAUGAGAUUUUUUUAAAAAACAGCUCAUCACUAGACCAGUUAAAAUAAAAAUACCUUAUGCCAUUUUCUCUUUUGGAAGUUGAUUUUGCUAGUACAGUAAGCUAGUACUGUGCCUUUCUGGCACCAGAAUAUGGUAUCAUGAAGAGCAGCAAUGUAGGAUCAGAGUCAGAUUGUUUAUUGUUUCUUUGGCUUUGAAGUUAGCAGCAAUCAAGCCCUUGUGCUUUUGAAGUCCAUGGAAGUACCCCUUUGCAGGGAAGGCAGACUGCUUCACCUGUGGAAGGUGAAACUACAGCUGCUAAUGCAACAGAGCUGUACCAUGUGCAGGUGACAAAGUAUACCUAAAACACUUCUGGGGGAAAUGUCCAGUCUGCCCCCUAAAUACAUGUAUUUUCCUGCCCAGAACUUCUUGAGGAAAAGCAGUGUGUUCCUUAAAAACAGCACUGAGCAAAAUAAACAUGAGAGCACACCAAUUUUGUUUUAAAAUCAGGUUUGUGAUGCCAUUAUGCUAUAAAUUUUCUUUUCUUUGGUUACAGCAAUGAAGCCACAUGUUUUCACUGACAGAAGGAAACAGAGUGCAUUUAGACCAGGCAUUAAUUAGGACUUCAUUGUACUUGAAACACUUGAUUUAAUUUUAAGAAGGAUUUAUCUGAUAACUGUGAUGUUUUGCUGCUUGCAAGCGUUCUUCUUUUGGCCUAAUUUCAGUUAAUGACCUUUGACUGUAAAAAGCAAACUUAGGAGACACAGACACAAUCGUGCUUGAUGUGCUAUUAAUGUUGUCUAUAGAGUCAGCAUGUUUCCAUCUUUGCCAGCUCUUAGCAUGCUUUUAAAGGUAUGCUCCCAGAGAUUACAAAGUCAUUUCAGUGCAUUUAAAAUUGGUUUUAGGGCUGUUCAGGCUGAAGGAUUAAAGCACAGUGUUGGAGUUCAUGGUAUUUCAGCCCAGCAAAUCAGGAUAGCUCAAGCCCACACAUGAAUCAGAAGUAUAUAUGCCUCUCUGGGUGCUCGUGUAAAACGGGGACUCUGAAACAGAGAAAAGAAAAAGUACAUACAGGUUGCUUAAAGGAAUGGUUUUCUUUAGCAGCCAACUCUUGUUACUAAGGCAAAGCGAAUUGCUCAUUCUAGAUUCAUGGUAACCCAGCUAUCAGCAGAUAAAAUUUUCCCACUGAUAGGGCUCCCUGAAGACCUUUCCCAUAGCACCAUGUUUAUUUGCCUUGCAACUUCCAGAAAAAUAAACAAAAACCACUACGGGGCUGUUUAAAUGUGAGUCUUAGGGAACUGCUUUCUGAUCUCCUCAGUACAAUUGGGGAAUGUCAGCGCUACAUGAUGAUAAAUGUGCAGAGGCUGAGUUUCUCUUGUUUUAACAUGAAAACUGCUUUUUCUCUUGCAUGUAACCUGUAUCACAUAGUCCUCAGAGACAAGUGGAUGCUGUAGGAGCAACUUCCACAGCUAAACUCUGGAGUAUCUUACAACUUAAUACAGAAAAUACAUAUUUGCUGCAAUUUUAUUGUCUCAAUGGAGUUAUUUUGGCUUAGCUGAAUGCUACAGUAAAUUAUGUCUUGCAUAAUACCCCCUCUGCUUGUCUACUUGACAUCCAGAAACUUGAAGAGGUUAGUCACUGUCUAACGUCAUAGUUAAUUACUUCUUAAAAGACAAUUUUACCAGUUGGCACCUGGCUAACUGACCAUAUCUGCCCUCUCCUUGGAGGCAGUCUCCCUAGGACAGCUCUGAAGCUCAAGAUGGGGGAGCGUAUGCACCAUAUCUGUUAGAAAUAAAUAAUGACAUCUCCACAUGAGAAAUAAUCUGGUUUUCUUACGCUGAUUUAUGUAAGGGCAGUGACAGGAGGUUUGUAUCUGCCCCUUAUUUCAUCACUAAAUUCCUAUCAUAUACCCAUUCCUACUAAAAAUUGAAAAAAAGGGGGAAAGUGUAUUUUAGCAUCAUGAAACAUGUCCAUUCCUUGCAUAUUGUUUCAAAACAGAGUAACCAUUGUCCCUGUGACACAUUCAUUAUGCAGAGAAAAGGAGAGGAUUAUUUCAGUAUAGUCAGCCAGGCUACCAUGGUGAAAGUAAAAAGCUGCCUUUCCCGUAAUAUUUAAAAGUCCAAGAACGUUAUUGAAGCUGAAAAGGAAUGAAUUAGCUAGGUGUGGUCUAACUGAGCAGGAAAAAGAGGCAUGAACUUAAUGUAGACCAGUAAAUAUGAGACUCCCAGAUAAAAAAAGUGUUCUUUCAGAGGAAUGUAGGUGUCACCAUUCCUGGUUUCAACAGAAAUGCACAAGGGACUUCACAGCCAUGUAUGUAUUCUUUCAUUGACAGUACUGGCCUAAAUAUGUGUUACACACUGAGAUUAUUUUGCAUUCAUUGAAAGUUUCUGUGUUUUACCGUGAAGAAAUGUGCUGGAAGCCCAUGUGGAGCUCCUGCAAAAAAAUGUAUUAAAAAUCUGCCACCAAAUUAAAGUAAGGCCUGAGCUGAUCUGAUGUUUUGGUUCUAUGAAUCCCUACUGUCUCCUAAUCUGGUCCCUUUGCAUUAAAACCUGUUUGGUCUUCUUUGCAUUAGCAUCUAGGCCCUUCUAUAUGAAAUCAGUGUUGUUCCAAAAAGAAAACAAAAACAGAAUUAUGAAAUAUUGUCUGAAGAGCAACUACUAUUACUUGUGGAAAAAUGCAGAAAAAAAUAGCACUGCUUUUCUUUCCUAACUUCUGGGAGAAUGGUGCAGACUAUUAAGGCUGUAUAAUAUUUAGAUGGGGUGAGAAACAUUAAUUUACAUUUCUCUGAUAUAUAACUGAUACAGUGGCUAGCAAUAGGCACUCACAUAAGUGUGCUGGCAGGAAAUUAUCCACUAUACUCCUUUGUAUUCUAACAGGGGGACUAGGAUUAACUAUCCUGAAGUAGACCAAAUACUCUGAACGUAGAUUAUUCUGACUGAAGUUGAACCAAGGUCGUUCUGGGAUUUCAGUAUAGAGGAGGGUAUUUUGCUGUCUCUUAAGAGCAUAUAUUUUGUAUACUGUACCUAGCAACAGGAAUAUAAUAUCUUUCAUAAUAAAAAAUAACCUGUUUCCAUGGAGAAAAAAGUAGAGGUAGGGUGCUGACACAGAAGGACUCCUGUGCUAUCACAAACAGCUAGUAUAUUUUGCUUUGACUAUAUUCCUUUCCACCUUGCCAAUAAAGAGUUUAAAUUAACCUAGAAAAUGAAUCCCUGCUAUGAAGCAGACACACACAAAAGAUCAAGAAAAAUAAUGAACAUAAUAGUUCAAGUAUUUUUAACAGAAGAUUGUAUGCAGAGAGGCAUAAAAGGAAGCAAAGUGUGGCAUGUUGUGGUGAAGACAGUGUGGUAGUAACAAGAUGUAUCAGUGGGAAGAUGAAAGUUGUAACAAUUUAAAUUUUCAUGACCUCUCUUUGAUUUGUGUCAGAAAUACCAACAUAUUGUGACCUCUACAGCUUCCAAGGGCAGACACUUGUAUACAGCAUUUCCUCCAUUGUCCUUGGCAUAAGGCACUUCUCAUGAGCAAAGAUGUAAGCUUGUUCAACACAGCCAAAGACUGUGUAAAACAGUGAUAUCCCAGAGGAAGAGUGGGAUUCCAUACAUUGUGAAAAAUCAGAGCAUCUCCUUCACAAACAAAAGAACAUGAACCAUCCUGUGCAAGUAGGAGCUGAGACUUCCAGUUGUGGUUUGGGGUUUGUUUGUUUGUGUUUUUCCUAUCUAUGGGAUCAUAUGACCCAGAUCUGUAACUCCUGAAAGGUUCCCUUGAGGUGCAUCUAAGAAACAUUGUGGGAAAACACAGUUUUAGGUAAGUAUGAAUGCCUUUAUUGACUUGGAGGCUGGAUUAGCUUUGGUGGAAACUGAUGGCAGUGUACAAUACAUAGAAUGAAAUAAAAUUUCGGGAUGCAAACUGCCAUAAAAAGCAGUGGAAAUCUCAUGAAUCCUGCAAGAUCCAUGCACAAUCGCAAACCAUUCCCACUUGUCCAACCAUAUAUUUUGAGCGAUUUUGAGUCCUGUGCCAAUGCUAGUACAGUCUACAUAGUUCAAGACUAGAUCCUGAGCUGUCUUUCUAAUGUUUAAAAAUCUUUACAAAGGAACAUGUGGAAAGAUAAAAUCUAAGUAGUCUUUUAAUUGUUAAUAAGUAAACCACAUCGAUCCCUUUCUACUCUGUUUAAAAUCCCUUAUUCUGACUGAGAGUAUUCACUCAUUGGGAUUUAAGGUAACAUAACUAACUGACUUCAAAUUCCACCUUUAGCUGCUUCAGAUGAAUCUUUUUGCAUGAAAACAAGCCCUGAACUAUAACUGAUACAUGUGAGGUUGCCCUUUGACUCACUUGGCUGUUUGCCUGAAAGCCUGCGUGCUUUGGAUGAAAAGGUGUUAAAAUAAAUGAGUUAAAAAGAAUACCUGCCUAUAGUACGAAUAGGUAAGAUUUAUUCCUCAUGGUAUUACAGGUGCAAAUUUACCACACUGUACUGAUGGUUUUCAAAGUCAUUCUAAUACGCCGUGUCACUUAUUAUUUUUUAAAUAGAAUUUGCUUUUUAAAAUUAUUUUUACUGUCUAAAAGUAACGCACUUAACUAUCAGAAGAGAAUGUUUCCAGAAAGCAUACACUGCUGUUUAAUUAUUCUUUUGUAUCUCUAACACAUGAUUAUUUUACAUGCCCACUUCAUCCCCAAUAAGCUUACAGAGAAAUGGGAGGAUUCACUGAAAAGAGCAACAUCCUUCAGUGUUGCAUGAGAGACCGUGGUUGAACAGGGUGACCUGCUGUGACCUCUAAACUCAGCGGAAUGGGAACUCUUAAAAGGAUAUGUAACCAAAGCCUGAGCUGUAUUUAAUUAACAGUUCAUGAAGUCUGGAAACUUUUUGAAAUACAUUAAAAUUUAAUUAAUGCUUUGAAUGUUAAGGAUGUAUAUUUUAGUGAAAAAGAAUGAUAAUAAAGCGUCCAGUUUAAAAAACAAAUGAAUAGAAUUUACAUUGGUUUACUUAUAGCUUACACAUAUUAGAAGUAGCCACAUGGGCUUCAGAUUCAGUAUCUGCAACAUUUUAAGAGAUAUUGAAGUACAUUCAAAGACCUUGUGCCUUAAGAAACCAGGAAACUGAUUUUAAUAAUUCUUCUUCAUACCAUUCAUAGUUUUAAUAUGCUCUAACACACUGUAGAGUUCUUCUAUAGGACUCCCACAUAGUCACACAGGAAAAAGGUUCAGUCAUGCACAGCAAAAAAUCAGUCUGCUGUUUGGUGGCACAUGGAAUUAAACUUCUUAGUAGAACUGUACCUUAGGCAAUAUUUCUGAGGGAGCUUUUUGAUAUAAUGAAAACAAUAGUGAAAUUACAGAAUUAUUUCAAGUGCCAUUGUGUUUUCUUCCACCUAGUAAAUCAUUAAAUCAAGUGUGAAAUAUUUGUGACCUCACUAUUGAUAUCAAGAGACAGUUUGCUCUUGAUGUUCUCAGCAUCUCUGCCUUAACACUAAUAAAAAAGGAAAAGGUACACCUUGUGUAACAACUAGUUUUUGUAUCAUAAUUUUUUAUGGGAAUUGAAAUUAAGUGGUAAAAGUCAUUAUUAAAAUCACAUUUAAAAAAUCCAAUAUUUUAAAUUAAGUAUAUAUUCCUAUGAUCAGGGACAAAUUUUAGAAAAGAAGAAGAAAUAUCUGUGAAAUUAUUUGAAUCAGAAUUAAAUGCUUCAGUUCUUUGUUAGUUUAUUGUUUAAAUUUGAAGUACCAUUUUACAUGAAAAUAAUGCAUAAAAAGGGACUGAUUUUUUUUCCCCCCUAAGUGGAUCAAGAGACUGUAAUCUGUAACAUGUUUCUGGGUGCGACCUAAGCUCCAAGAGCAGGUUUGCUAUUCUUACCCAAGCCAAGAACUACAGGGCCUGAGCUGAGCUCUUUUAAAUAGCUUCCUUAGGUUUAGUAAACUUUUAAUCAGAUCCUCAGAUCAGAACAUUAUAACAGUCACCACCUGCUUUCUCAAAAGAAGAUACAUAUUAUAUGAAGAGAAUUUGGAUGUGCACUGUUUUCAGUGGAUCUCUGCAGUUUAUGAAAGCUCAAGAGUUCAAACUGCAAAUUCUAAGCUUGUUCCCAGGGUUCAGA
Molecule: long non-coding RNA, 10984 nt
Organism: Falco peregrinus (peregrine falcon)
Lineage: Eukaryota; Metazoa; Chordata; Aves; Falconiformes; Falconidae
Exons: 5
Source: RefSeq, a predicted model, not a curated record